RNAcentral lists this ribosomal RNA (742 nucleotides) under uncultured bacterium. RNAcentral describes it as "bacterial SSU rRNA". It matches the Rfam family "Bacterial small subunit ribosomal RNA", at positions 8 to 796 of the family's 1533-position model. The record is from RNAcentral.
AGAGUUUGAUCCUGGCUCAGAACGAACGCUGGCGGCAGGCUUAACACAUGCAAGUCGAACGCCCCGCAUGGGGAGUGGCAGACGGGUGAGUAACGCGUGGGAAUCUACCCAAUUCUUCGGAACAACACAUGGAAACGUGUGCUAAUACCGAAUGAGCCCUUCGGGGGAAAGAUUUAUCGGAAUUGGAUGAGCCCGCGUUGGAUUAGCUAGUUGGUGGGGUAAUGGCCUACCAAGGCGAUGAUCCGUAGGGGGCGUGAGAGCGUGGCCCCCCACACUGGCACUGAGAUACGGGCCAGACUCCUACGGGAGGCAGCAGUAAGGAGUAUUGGGCAAUGGGCGAAAGCCUGACCCAGCAACGCCGCGUGAGGGACGAAGGCCUUCGGGUUGUAAACCUCUUUUCUGAGGGACGAGACAAGGACGGUACCUCGGGAAUAAGUCUCGGCUAACUACGUGCCAGCAGCCGCGGUAAAACGUAGGAGGCGAGCGUUAUCCGGAUUUACUGGGCGUAAAGCGCACGCAGGUGGCUUCGUUAGUCGGAUGUUAAAGCUCCUGGCUUAACUGGGAGAGGCCAUUCGAUACUGCGAGGCUUGAGGUUGGGAGAGGGGUGUGGAAUUCCCGGUGUAGUGGUGGAAUGCGUAGAUAUCGGGAGGAACACCUGUGGCGAAAGCGACACCCUGGCCCACACCUGACGCUGAGGUGCGAAAGCGUGGGUAGCAAACAGGAUUAGAUACCCUGGUAGUCC